CCUGCCGGACCUGACUGCUAUCGGAUUGAUACUAAGCCAUACGAGUCUUUGUAGUAAUACAAGGCAGACGGCUCAGUAACACGUAGUCAACCUACCCUAUGGACAAGAAUAAUCUCGGGAAACUGGGCAUAAUUCUUGAUAGAUCAUAAUGCCUGGAAUGGUUUAUGGUUAAAAUGAUUCGUCGCCAUAGGAUGGGACUGCGGCCUAUCAGCUUGUUGGUGAGGUAAUGGCCCACCAAGGCGAUUACAGGUACGGGCUCUGAGAGGAGAAGCCCGGAGAUGGGUACUGAGACACGGACCCAGGCCCUAUGGGGCGCAGCAGGCGAGAAAACUUUGCAAUGUGCGAAAGCACGACAAGGUUAAUCCGAGUGAUUUCUGCUAAAGAAAUCUUUUGCCAGUCAUAAAACCACUGGUGAACAAGGGGUGGGCAAGUUCUGGUGUCAGCCGCCGCGGUAAAACCAGCACCUCAAGUGGUCAGGAUGAUUAUUGGGCCUAAAGCAUCCGUAGCCGGCUUUGUAAGUUUUCGGUUAAAUCCAUGUGCUCAACGCAUGGGCUGCCGAAAAUACUGCAUGGCUAGGGAGUGGGAGAGGUAGACGGUACUCAGUAGGAAGGGGUAAAAUCCUUUGAUCUAUUGAUGACCACCUGUGGCGAAGGCGGUCUACCAGAACACGUUCGACGGUGAGGGAUGAAAGCUGGGGGAGCAAACCGGAUUAGAUACCCGGGUAGUCCCAGCUGUAAACGAUGCAGACUCGAUGAUGCAUUGGCAUAAUAGCCAGUGCAGUGUUGCAGGGAAGCCGUUAAGUUUGCCGCCUGGGAAGUACGUACGCAAGUAUGAAACUU
RNAcentral lists this ribosomal RNA (839 nucleotides) under uncultured marine group I thaumarchaeote. RNAcentral's name for it is "SSU rRNA". It matches the Rfam family "Archaeal small subunit ribosomal RNA", at positions 13 to 857 of the family's 1478-position model. The record is from RNAcentral. Lineage: Archaea; Thermoproteati; Nitrososphaerota.